CAAUAGCGUGUAUUAAAGUUGUUGCAGUUAAAAAGCUCGUAGUUGGAUUUCUGGUGGGAGCGAUCGGUCUGGCGCUUAGCGCGAGUACUUGCAUCGUCUCCGGCCAUCCUUGGGGAGAGUCUGUCUGGCAUUAGGUUGUCGGGCAGAGGAUCCUCAUCGUUUACUGUGAAAAAAUUAGAGUGUUCAAAGCAGGCUUAUGCCGUUGAAUAUAUUAGCAUGGAAUAAUAAGAUAGGACUUUGGUACUAUUUUGUUGGUUUGCGCACCAAAGUAAUGAUUAAUAGGGACAGUUGGGGGCAUUCGUAUUCCGUUGUCAGAGGUGAAAUUCUUGGAUUUACGGAAGACGAACUACUGCGAAAGCAUUUACCAAGGAUGUUUNCAUUGA
Molecule: ribosomal RNA, 383 nt
Filed under: uncultured eukaryote
Lineage: Eukaryota
Description: partial 18S ribosomal RNA
Rfam family: Eukaryotic small subunit ribosomal RNA
Source: RNAcentral